This 292-nucleotide ribosomal RNA is filed under the name uncultured bacterium. RNAcentral describes it as "partial 16S ribosomal RNA". It matches the Rfam family "Bacterial small subunit ribosomal RNA", at positions 505 to 796 of the family's 1533-position model. The record is from RNAcentral.
GUGCCAGCAGCCGCGGUAAUACGGAGGGGGUUAGCGUUGUUCGGAAUUACUGGGCGUAAAGCGCGCGUAGGCGGGCAUUCAAGUCGGGGGUGAAAUCCCGGGGCUCAACCCCGGAACUGCCUUCGAUACUGGAUGCCUGGAGUUCGAGAGAGGUGAGUGGAAUUCCGAGUGUAGAGGUGAAAUUCGUAGAUAUUCGGAGGAACACCAGUGGCGAAGGCGGCUCACUGGCUCGAUACUGACGCUGAGGCGCGAAAGCGUGGGGAGCAAACAGGAUUAGAUACCCGUGUAGUCC